GUAGGUGGCAAGCGUUGUCCGGAAUUAUUGGGCGUAAAGCGCGCGCAGGCGGUUCUUUAAGUCUGAUGUGAAAGCCCACGGCUCAACCGUGGAGGGUCAUUGGAAACUGGAGAACUUGAGUACAGAAGAGGAAAGCGGAAUUCCACGUGUAGCGGUGAAAUGCGUAGAGAUGUGGAGGAACACCAGUGGCGAAGGCGGCUUUCUGGUCUGUAACUGACGCUGAGGCGCGAAAGCGUGGGGAGCAAACAGGGAUUAGAUACCCUGCUAGUCCACGCCGUAAACGAUGAGUGCUAAGUGUUAGGGGGGUUUUCCGCCCCCCUUAGUGCUGCAGCUAACGCAUUAAGCACUCCGCCUGGGAGUACGGCCGCAAGGCUG
This 375-nucleotide ribosomal RNA is filed under the name uncultured organism. Its description in RNAcentral is "partial 16S ribosomal RNA". It matches the Rfam family "Bacterial small subunit ribosomal RNA", at positions 527 to 896 of the family's 1533-position model. The record is from RNAcentral.